RNAcentral lists this ribosomal RNA (668 nucleotides) under Arrhamphus sclerolepis (northern snubnose garfish). RNAcentral's name for it is "partial large subunit ribosomal RNA". It matches the Rfam family "Bacterial large subunit ribosomal RNA", at positions 1899 to 2628 of the family's 2925-position model. Lineage: Eukaryota; Metazoa; Chordata; Actinopteri; Beloniformes; Hemiramphidae. The record is from RNAcentral.
CCCACACGAUUUUACAAGGGACGAGAGUAGACGGAUCGCUGUGAAACAUAUCACGUAUGCGUUUUUGAGAACAGGCGAUCCGUUUUGAACCGCAAUCACUUGUCUUUUAAAAGAAGACCCGUAUGAAUGGCUCCACGAGGGCUUAACUGUCUCUUUCCCCCAGUCAAUGAAAUUGAUCUCCCCGUGCAGAAGCGGGGAUCCUCACAUAAGACGAGAAGACCCUUUGGAGCUUUAGACAAAAAGUAGACCAUGUCCCCACCCCCAAAUAAAAGGAAUGAACUAAUUGGUCCCUACCCUUCGUCUUUGGUUGGGGCGACCGCGGGGAAACAAAAAACCCCCAUGUGGAACGGAAGACUAUCUUCUAUAACCAAGACCCACAGCUCUAAGUUUCAGAAUUUCUGACCAAAAAGAUCCGGCACCGCCGAUCAACGGACCGAGUUACCCUAGGGAUAACAGCGCAAUCCCCUUUUAGAGCCCAUAUCGACAAGGGGGUUUACGACCUCGAUGUUGGAUCAGGACAUCCUAAUGGUGCAGCCGCUAUUAAGGGUUCGUUUGUUCAACGAUUAAAGUCCUACGUGAUCUGAGUUCAGACCGGAUGUCGCCUGUUUAUCAAAAACAUAUACGUGAUCUGAUUUCAAACCGGGGGGCUCGUGACUAAAUAUGAUCCU